CUACGGGGGGCAGCAGGCGAGAAAACUUUGCAAUGUGCGAAAGCACGACAAGGUUAAUCCGAGUGGUUUCUGCUAAAGGAACCUUUUGUCAGUCCUAGAAACACUGGCGAAUAAGGGGUGGGCAAGUUCUGGUGUCAGCCGCCGCGGUAAAACCAGCACCUCAAGUGGUCAGGAUGAUUAUUGGGCCUAAAGCAUCCGUAGCCUGCUUUGUUAGUUUUCGGUUAAAUCCAUACGCUCAACGUAUGGGCUGCCGGGAAUACUGCAAAGCUAGGGAGUGGGAGAGGUAGACGGUACUCGGUAGGAAGGGGUAAAAUCCUUUGAUCUAUUGAUGACCACCUGUGGCGAAGGCGGUCUACCAGAACACGUCCGACGGUGAGGGAUGAAAGCUGGGGGAGCAAACCGGAUUAGAUACCCCUGUAGUC
RNAcentral lists this ribosomal RNA (422 nucleotides) under uncultured archaeon. RNAcentral describes it as "partial 16S ribosomal RNA". It matches the Rfam family "Archaeal small subunit ribosomal RNA", at positions 323 to 746 of the family's 1478-position model. The record is from RNAcentral.